AUUGAACGCUGGCGGCAGGCCUAACACAUGCAAGUCGAACGGUAACAGGAAGCAGCUUGCUGCUUCGCUGACGAGUGGCGGACGGGUGAGUAAUGUCUGGGAAACUGCCUGAUGGAGGGGGAUAACUACUGGAAACGGUAGCUAAUACCGCAUAACGUCGCAAGACCAAAGAGGGGGACCUUCGGGCCUCUUGCCAUCGGAUGUGCCCAGAUGGGAUUAGCUAGUAGGUGGGGUAACGGCUCACCUAGGCGACGAUCCCUAGCUGGUCUGAGAGGAUGACCAGCCACACUGGAACUGAGACACGGUCCAGACUCCUACGGGAGGCAGCAGUGGGGAAUAUUGCACAAUGGGCGCAAGCCUGAUGCAGCCAUGCCGCGUGUAUGAAGAAGGCCUUCGGGUUGUAAAGUACUUUCAGCGGGGAGGAAGGCGACAGGGUUAAUAACCCUGUCGAUUGACGUUACCCGCANAAGAAGCACCGGCUAACUUNCGUGCCAGCAGCCCGCGGUAAUACCGGAGGGUGCAAAGCCGUUUAAUUCGG
Molecule: ribosomal RNA, 538 nt
Filed under: uncultured soil bacterium
Lineage: Bacteria
Description: bacterial SSU rRNA
Rfam family: Bacterial small subunit ribosomal RNA
Source: RNAcentral